UGAAAACUUUAAGUUUUAAUGAUAAGGACAAAAUAAAGGGUAAAGUGAAUAGUAUCAGGAUUGACUUUUUAGUGUAAAAAUGUGAUUUUUCGUUAAAGUGAACAGUACCGGUGCUUUUCGUUAAAGUUCCCUAUAUUUAAUUAUGGUGGCCCAAAAUCCUUCCCAAACGUAAUUAGAGGACUUGUCAACGCUAAUGUGAGAUUUGUGCCUUCAAUUAUGGUGUGAAGUGGCGUGGACAAUCGGUCACGUGACAUAGGAGGAAGGAAACACGUGUGUUCCAAGUGGCAAUUGUUUUUGGCCAGCAAUGUUGACUCUGAGAGGGGCAUUUAAGUAAUUCAAAUCAAAGUAAAGGUGGUAGUUGAUUCCAUUCUUCAACUGUUGGGUAACAGGUAAGGUUUUCCCGUGACUCUGAUUAUAAAGCAGAGAACCGUUAAAAUAAUGAAGGAAAAAGGGGCAUAGACUCCUUUUGGUAAGUAACCGACACCACAUCAUCUUUAAAAUAAAAAAAUUGAUAUUAAAUAGAUGACGUUUUACGGUAAUGGUAUUAAAAAAAAAAUGUUUAUGCAUGAUUUGAU
Molecule: long non-coding RNA, 575 nt
Filed under: Malus domestica (apple)
Lineage: Eukaryota; Viridiplantae; Streptophyta; Magnoliopsida; Rosales; Rosaceae
Description: long non-coding RNA (MDOM_LNC009736)
Source: RNAcentral